This is a long non-coding RNA of Pezoporus flaviventris, 1904 nucleotides long. RefSeq lists it as uncharacterized. Lineage: Eukaryota; Metazoa; Chordata; Aves; Psittaciformes; Psittacidae. The record is from RefSeq and is a predicted model, not a curated record. The transcript has 3 exons.
CUGUAGCACCAUCACGGACUGGGACCUCUUCAGCCAUUUCUUCCUGCUGUGAUGCUCUAACUCCUCUCUCCCCACCAGGAACCUGGGAUUGCUGAGCCUUGAUUUGUCCCAGGGAUGCUGCCUCGUGCGAUGCUGAAGGAGCCGGAGCAUUCUCCUGCUUGGUGCAGGCCCUUGCCCGCCCGCCCCGAGCCUGGUGAUGCUCUGGGGCCUGCAGCCCACCCUCACCUUGCACUCGGCUGCCCUUCAAAUUACUGCAUACAGCAAUUCUCUUCUGCUUGAGCGUCCGCCAGCAGGUCCCCAGGAGGUGAUGCUUUGGAGACAGCUCCGGAAGCUUGGUCAUGAACCUGUGAUGACCAACAGCUUUCUGAUGGUGGUGGAGGUAGGGAAUCUUCUUCUAUGGAGCAAAGCCCACAUUGGGGCUGGAUGUUUGCGGCUUUCAGUGAUGUUUUGCUGUCUUGGGUGCACUUGAGAUGCCUCCUGCAGCCGUGGCCAGGGAGGGAAACCUGUGUGCUGAAGUAAAGUGAGAUCCUGGGGUGCGUUCAGGCUUUUUAGCUGCAGUCAGGGCCGUUGGGGCUCUGUCGGCUGCUGCCUCAGAGGUGCCCGAUCCAUCAACACCUCUGACAGCUCAAGGUUUUGCUGUGGGUCUCCCUUGCACUUCAAGCCAUGACUUUGCUUGAUGGUUUUCCCCCCGCCCCCUGGUUUGGUCUGGGACUGGUACCCAAAGUGAGAGUACUGCCAGAGGUGCUGCAUCCCCAGCCUAAAUCCCUGUAUCAUGAAGCCGCCUGGCCAAAGAUACCCAGAUUGAGUCUGCCCAGUGCAGGGGACAGCGACAACCCCUUUGUCCCCACCCCAGCUCACCCACCCGGCUAUUAUGGGUUCUCACAGAUCACUUGGCACGGGGCCGUGGUGUGGUAUGGCCGGGUUUGCACUGUAACCUCUUAUUACAAAACCCUCAGCGCUUCUCGGGAUUGUUUCGCCUGUUAUCAUCUUUCCCACAAUGCGCUUGCAUGAUCCUCUCUCAGACUUAACCACAUGGCAACCACAUCACAUAAUGCAACUUCUGUUCUGAGAUUAUUCAUAUUUCCCCCCCCUUCCCCAUUGUUGCUUUGCCAAGUUUUUCUUCUCAUUCUGAGAAGCUGCAUUUAAAAGAGCAGUGUCUCCGGUGCAAGGACAUGCUUAGGAGGCAGCGUGAGCAAAUCAACUCGACAAGUGUGUUCACAGGAGUCAAACUGGGGAGGGGGAGCUGUGAAAAAGCAAAACAAAAGCCCCUCCAAAUGUCUAUUUUUAUUUUAUUUGGUUCCCUGGAAUGUCUCAUCACAUGGAAUAACAAUGCAUCCCGGCACGGAGACUGCAGACAGGCUCCACUGAAAGGGCAGCUGAGGGAAAGAUUGCUUUAUAAGUAGGUUUUUAUAUGCAAUCUAUCACCAGUGCCAGCUCCCAGCAGAACAGGAUAAACGACAAAGAAAGGGCUGUGCUAACUGGAGUGUGUGUUUGCAGUCGUGCUGCUGAGGAGAGCUGCCUGUGUCCCCAUAUCCCUGUGUCCCCAUAUCCCUUGUGACACGGAGGGGAUGGGGCCUGGGUACUGCUCUGGCUCCAGCUCCAGCUUCCAGGGGAGGAUGCAAACGGCUCGGAUCUGGUCCAGAGGGGAGGGAGAGCAAGUGAGGUCUGGGAAAUGUGAUUGCUGUGAAGUUGGGGAGGAAUGAGGUUGUUUAGUCUGGAAAAGAGAUGUCUGCAGAAAGAAGCGUUUUCUGGCCCUUUGGCUGCGCAGGGGCCGUGGCAAAGAGGAAGGGGCUGAUGCUGUUCCUGGGCCACCAGGAGCUGCUGUGGCCAAGCCCUGGCCUUGGGGCUGCAAAACCCCAUCAGUCUGAAGAGCACUGGGACAAUGGGGAAGUGCACCAAAACCA